Small nucleolar RNA from Bison bison bison, 132 nucleotides. The record is from Ensembl. NCBI's taxonomy places the organism in Eukaryota, Metazoa, Chordata, Mammalia, Artiodactyla, Bovidae.
UUCCAAAGUGUUGAGUUCAGUCCGGGGCAGCUUCCCUGUUCUGUUAAUUAAACUUUGGGACAUUAAAACACAGGCUGGGGUGUGUGUGGAUGGAGACUGUUACUCUAUUCGUUUACUCCCUAGCCUCCAGAU